CACGUAGGGCGCAAGCGUUGUCCGGAAUUAUUGGGCGUAAAGAGCUCGUAGGCGGUCUGUUGCGUCCGCUGUGAAAACCCGGGGCUCAACUCCGGGCCUGCAUUCGAUACGGGCAGACUAGAGUUCGGUAGGGGAGUCUGGAAUUCCUGGUGUAGCGGUGAAAUGCGUAGAUAUCGUAAGGAAGACCAGUGGCGAAGGCGGGUCUCUGGACAGUUCCUGACGCUGAGGCACGAAGGCCAGGGGAGCAAACGGG
This 253-nucleotide ribosomal RNA is filed under the name uncultured bacterium. Its description in RNAcentral is "partial 16S ribosomal RNA". It matches the Rfam family "Bacterial small subunit ribosomal RNA", at positions 524 to 776 of the family's 1533-position model. The record is from RNAcentral.